RNAcentral lists this ribosomal RNA (552 nucleotides) under Trichoderma asperellum. RNAcentral's name for it is "eukaryotic LSU rRNA". The stretch from base 163 to 316 matches the Rfam family "5.8S ribosomal RNA". Lineage: Eukaryota; Fungi; Ascomycota; Sordariomycetes; Hypocreales; Hypocreaceae. The record is from RNAcentral.
CCAAUGUGAACGUUACCAAACUGUUGCCUCGGCGGGGUCACGCCCCGGGUGCGUCGCAGCCCCGGAACCAGGCGCCCGCCGGAGGAACCAACCAAACUCUUUCUGUAGUCCCCUCGCGGACGUAUUUCUUACAGCUCUGAGCAAAAAUUCAAAAUGAAUCAAAACUUUCAACAACGGAUCUCUUGGUUCUGGCAUCGAUGAAGAACGCAGCGAAAUGCGAUAAGUAAUGUGAAUUGCAGAAUUCAGUGAAUCAUCGAAUCUUUGAACGCACAUUGCGCCCGCCAGUAUUCUGGCGGGCAUGCCUGUCCGAGCGUCAUUUCAACCCUCGAACCCCUCCGGGGGAUCGGCGUUGGGGAUCGGGACCCCUCACACGGGUGCCGGCCCCUAAAUACAGUGGCGGUCUCGCCGCAGCCUCUCCUGCGCAGUAGUUUGCACAACUCGCACCGGGAGCGCGGCGCGUCCACGUCCGUAAAACACCCAACUUUCUGAAAUGUUGACCUCGGAUCAGGUAGGAAUACCCGCUGAACUUAAGCAUAUCAAUAAGCGGAGGAA